GAUGAACGCUGGCGGCGUGCCUAAUACAUGCAAGUCGAGCGAACGGACGAGAAGCUUGCUUCUCUGAUGUUAGCGGCGGACGGGUGAGUAACACGUGGAUAACCUACCUAUAAGACUGGGAUAACUUCGGGAAACCGGAGCUAAUACCGGAUAAUAUUUUGAACCGCAUGGUUCAAAAGUGAAAGACGGUCUUGCUGUCACUUAUAGAUGGAUCCGCGCUGCAUUAGCUAGUUGGUAAGGUAACGGCUUACCAAGGCAACGAUGCAUAGCCGACCUGAGAGGGUGAUCGGCCACACUGGAACUGAGACACGGUCCAGACUCCUACGGGAGGCAGCAGUAGGGAAUCUGCCGCAAUGGGCGAAAGCCUGACGGAGCAACGCCGCGUGAGUGAUGAAGGUCUUCGGAGCGUAAAACUCUGUUAUUAGGGAAGAACAUAUGUGUAAGUAACUGUGCACAUCUUGACGGUACCUAAUCAGAAAGCCACGGCUAACUACGUG
This 497-nucleotide ribosomal RNA is filed under the name uncultured bacterium. RNAcentral's name for it is "partial 16S ribosomal RNA". It matches the Rfam family "Bacterial small subunit ribosomal RNA", at positions 28 to 507 of the family's 1533-position model. The record is from RNAcentral.